CAAGGCUGAACCUGGAGGAGCUGGAUGAGGGUGUCCUUAAAUGCCUUAGCAGGAAGAAACGUAUGGGUCCCAGGCAUCCUGCUCUCCAGUGCUUGUGUCAAUAGCAACUUUUCCUGUAGUUCCUCUGCAUCUUUUUGUGCCUUUCAUAAAUGAGGAGACCCAAACCACAAAAAAAAAAAAAGCCUCCAUUCCUGGCUUGUUUGUGCUAGAGGAAAAGCUUUAUUCAAGUAGGAGUCUCAUCUCCCCAUUGUGCUCAAUCACUGUCAGUCGUUACRUGCCUUUCUUCCAAAUGCCCUUUGAUUUGCUCGAUAUGGUGGACUCAAAGUGGACAUUUCYCAGAGGACGUAGGA
This is a long non-coding RNA of Nothoprocta perdicaria, 350 nucleotides long. RefSeq lists it as uncharacterized. NCBI's taxonomy places the organism in Eukaryota, Metazoa, Chordata, Aves, Tinamiformes, Tinamidae. The transcript is spliced from 2 exons. The record is from RefSeq and is a predicted model, not a curated record.